Molecule: ribosomal RNA, 411 nt
Filed under: uncultured bacterium
Lineage: Bacteria
Description: bacterial SSU rRNA
Rfam family: Bacterial small subunit ribosomal RNA
Source: RNAcentral
ACGGGUGAGUAAUACAUCGGAACGUGCCCGAUCGUGGGGGAUAACGAGGCGAAAGCUUUGCUAAUACCGCAUACGAUCUACGGAUGAAAGCGGGGGAUCUUCGGACCUCGCGCGGACGGAGCGGCCGAUGGCAGAUUAGGUAGUUGGUGGGAUAAAAGCUUACCAAGCCGACGAUCUGUAGCUGGUCUGAGAGGAUGAUCAGCCACACUGGGACUGAGACACGGCCCAGACUCCUACGGGAGGCAGCAGUGGGGAAUUUUGGACAAUGGGCGAAAGCCUGAUCCAGCCAUGCCGCGUGCAGGAUGAAGGCCUUCGGGUUGUAAACUGCUUUUGUACGGAACGAAAAGCCUCUUUCUAAUAAAGAGGGGUCAUGACGGUACCGUAAGAAUAAGCACCGGCUAACUACGUGCC